AGACAUCCAGUUCAGAGUUUAAGCAUCAAAAUCAGGGGGAAAGAAAACCUCUAGUUGAAAUAUAUCCAGAAAAAUCAGCCUUCUCCAAAAGGGAAUAGCUCCAGCAUCCUAAAUCUAAGCAAAGUGAUAUAUUCAUGACAGGAAAAGAGAUGGAAAACUUUUCUUUUUCGGAUCGACAUCUUCCUAUGCAUUAAGGACAGAAAGGGCACCAAACAGCCAAUGAAGACAGAAGAGGAUGAGUGAUCAGCUUGGAUAAGUGCUGAAGCCAGAAUGGAUCAAAGAAAAAAAAAGCUUCAAACAGAUUCUCAUGGGUGGAAGAUGAUAUUCUGGCUUACAAGAUGGCUUAAAGG
Crotalus tigris (Tiger rattlesnake) is the source of this 350-nucleotide long non-coding RNA. RefSeq lists it as uncharacterized. The transcript is spliced from 4 exons. The record is from RefSeq and is a predicted model, not a curated record. NCBI's taxonomy places the organism in Eukaryota, Metazoa, Chordata, Lepidosauria, Squamata, Viperidae.